RNAcentral lists this unclassified non-coding RNA (352 nucleotides) under soil metagenome. RNAcentral describes it as "partial contains 5.8S ribosomal RNA, internal transcribed spacer 2, and large subunit ribosomal RNA". The stretch from base 1 to 120 matches the Rfam family "5.8S ribosomal RNA", at positions 35 to 154 of the family's 154-position model. The record is from RNAcentral.
GAUGAAGAACGCAGUGAAAUGCGAUAAGUAAUGUGAAUUGCAGAAUUCAGUGAAUCAUCGAAUCUUUGAACGCACAUUGCGCCCGCCAGUAUUCUGGCGGGCAUGCCUGUUCGAGCGUCAUUACAACCCUCAGGCCCCCGGGCCUGGCGUUGGGGAUCGGCGGAAGCCCCCUGUGGGCACACGCCGUCCCUCAAAUACAGUGGCGGUCCCGCCGCAGCUUCCAUUGCGUAGUAGCUAACACCUCGCAACUGGAGAGCGGCGCGGCCAUGCCGUAAAACACCCAACUUCUGAAUGUUGACCUCGAAUCAGGUAGGAAUACCCGCUGAGCUUAAGCAUAUCAAUAAGCGGAGGA